This 904-nucleotide long non-coding RNA is filed under the name Homo sapiens (human). RNAcentral describes it as "non-protein coding lnc-SEL1L3-10:1". The record is from RNAcentral. Lineage: Eukaryota; Metazoa; Chordata; Mammalia; Primates; Hominidae.
GCAUCAAUUUCAUUCGCUAAUGGGGAGCAAAUCUCCUCGAGGUGGUGAAAGGGUGCAGAAGUGGGAGGGAGGAGAGCAUGCAAAACUCAAGGACCAUCCCCCCAUCCCUGACAAUCUGGGGCGUCCCCUACAAGGCCGUGCAUUCGGUCUUUGAGUCCGAGGCAGGGACCUCACCCUGAGCCUCUCUGCUAAUGGUUAUGUUAUCAAAGGUCUCAGGAGCCUUGACAGGGACAUCCUGCCCCUCCUGCGCCUCCUCCAAGUCCUCGCAGCACUUGCUGCAGCGGCAGCACUUGGGGCAGUCACACAGCAAGCAGCACGCGCGGCAGCACACGCGGCAGCAGCAGCAGCAGCGCAUCUGGAAGCAGCCGGUGAACUUGGAGACGACGGCAUCCCAGGGCUUCAGCGAGCGCAUCCACAGCGGCAGGAAGUUCCAGUUCUGGAGUUUCUUCGGCAGGACGCGUGGGCAGCGAGACUGCAGGAGUCGGAGGCACAGUACCAGGAUGAUGAUGAAGACGACGGGAACCCCGACACCAACCAGCACCCGCCAGCCGGCCAGCGAGAGGCCAAACACCGUCAGCGGGAUCAGGAAGAAGAAGAUGAUCAGGUAGAAGACGGCGAACCAGCGAUACUUGGCAGAGAUGUUGCCCAGCCCCUUGGCCAUGCGGAUGGGCAGGCGAGUGAACGGGAUCGGGUACCACAGCAAGAUGCCGGAGAUGUUGAAGAAAAAGUGGCACAGGGCGAUCUGCAACACAAGAGGUUGGACAGAAAGUGCUGAGAGCAUGCUUCCUCGCCUGCCCUGGUCUCCUGUCAGCACCCACAUUUGACCUUCAACCUUCAUUUCUGCCUUAAAGAGCAUCAAGAAACUGUAGCAGCUUGGAACAUGCCUGCCAACUGAGUCCUCCAC